GAUGAAGAACGUAGCGAAAUGCGAUACGUAAUGUGAAUUGCAAAUUCAGUGAAUCAUUGAGUCUUUGAACGCACAUUGCGCCCCCUGGUAUUCCGGGGGGCAUGCCUGUCCGAGCGUCAUUGCUGCCCUCAAGCACGGCUUGUGUGUUGGGCCCCGUCCUCCGAUCCCGGGGGACGGGCCCGAAAGGCAGCGGCGGCACCGCGUCCGGUCCUCGAGCGUAUGGGGCUUUGUCACCCGCUCUGUAGGCCCGGCCGGCGCUUGCCGAUCAACCCAAAUUUUUAUCCAGGUUGACCUCGGAUCAGGUAGGGAUACCCGCUGAACUUAAGCAUAUCAAUAAGCGGAGGA
RNAcentral lists this unclassified non-coding RNA (345 nucleotides) under soil metagenome. RNAcentral describes it as "partial contains 5.8S ribosomal RNA, internal transcribed spacer 2, and large subunit ribosomal RNA". The stretch from base 1 to 119 matches the Rfam family "5.8S ribosomal RNA", at positions 35 to 154 of the family's 154-position model. The record is from RNAcentral.